RNAcentral lists this ribosomal RNA (389 nucleotides) under uncultured bacterium. RNAcentral's name for it is "partial 16S ribosomal RNA". It matches the Rfam family "Bacterial small subunit ribosomal RNA", at positions 338 to 724 of the family's 1533-position model. The record is from RNAcentral.
CCUACGGGAGGCAGCAGUGAGGAAUAUUGGACAAUGGGCGUAAGCCUGAACCAGCCACGUCGCGUGAGGGAUGAAGGUUCUAUGGAUCGUAAACCCCUUUUAUAAGGGAAUAAAGUGUGGGACGUGUCCCGUUUUGUACGUACCUUAUGAAUACGGAUAGGCUAACUCCGUGCCAGCAGCCGCGGUAAUACGGUGGAUCCGAGCGUUGUCCGGAUUUAUUGGGUUUAAAGGGUGCGUAGGCGGCCUUUUAAGUCAGCGGUGAAAGUCUGUGGCUCAACACUAGAAUUGCCGUUGAAACUGGGAGUCUUGAGUAUGUUUGAGGCAGGCGGAAUGCGUGGUGUAGCGGUGAAAUGCUUAGAUAUCAGGCAGAACCCCGAUUGCGAAGGCAG